Molecule: long non-coding RNA, 954 nt
Organism: Helianthus annuus (common sunflower)
Lineage: Eukaryota; Viridiplantae; Streptophyta; Magnoliopsida; Asterales; Asteraceae
Exons: 5
Source: RefSeq, a predicted model, not a curated record
UUAAAUGCUUCUUCCCUUCUCUCUCUCUCAAAAUCCCUACUCCCAUUUCAAAAUUUAGAAAAUGAUGGCCGUUGUAACCACAUAUUUGUGAAGAUGGCGGCCUCUGUUCAGGUAAGACGACGACAAUGGAGAUGAAGUCUAGGGUUUGCAGCUGCGCUACAGGCGGUAAAAGUCGUGAUUCUGAACCAAAAGUGAAAGUAGAAGAUGGUGUACGGACGAAACCAAACACAACCUUCAUCUUCCUCCUCAGGUACCAAAAUCGUCUCUAGGGUAUUGAGCCUAAUGUGAUGAAUCGACUGAUCUUUCACCACCAUCAUAUGUAAACUACGCUGGUAAGUUUUCCAAUUUUUAGUUUGUAGAUUGGUUACAUAAAGUGACAUGAUGCUAAACAACUAGCUUUCCACCAACUUUGACCAGUUAAGCAACUUGGCUACAUCACGGUGCUUAUGCAGAUGUAUAUGAUGCUCUUAUAUAUUUAUAUAUGAACCGAUAUUCAUUUUGUAUUUAACUAAUACUUUGUAGGAAUGACUCUCGCAUCCGUGGAGUGUAGUUCAUCAUACAGUCUAUAGUAAAGGGCCAUAAACAUAUCGACUAAAGGGUUCAAGUAUUACUUGAGAUGUUUGAGAGUAAACUAUAUGAGAUGCCUGACCGAGGUGGUCGUGUGGCUAUGGUGGUUUUAUCAACAGAUCUUGAUGAAUCAGACACACUGCACAUGAUGUUGCUACUGUGACUCCAGCAAACUACUAAAGUACAGAUUUUCAGACUGGAGCAUUUCAACUCAUUUUGUUGGAUUGAAUUUCAUAAGUUAUGUUUUCGAGGUCUAGUUUCCUUAAGUGAAUGGGAGUAAGCAGCCAUGUACUUUGACAUUUGAAGCUCUUCAUGCCUCAUCUUGUGAUGCUGGAAUCAACCAUCCUAACCAGUACAUUAGUAAGCCAAAAGAUCCUGAAAGAAAAG